AAGAAAGUAAUUAAGAGCGUAUGGGGGAUGCCUUGGCUCUCAUAGACGAUGAAGGACGUGAUAAGCUGCGAUAAGCUUCGGGUAGGAGCAAAUAUCCUUUGAUCCGGAGAUUUCCGAAUGGGGAAACCCAAUACCUUGAAGAGGUAUUAUUCCGACUUGUCGGAAGGACAACCCAGUGAACUGAAACAUCUAAGUAACUGGAGGAAAAUAAAACAAUAGUGAUUUCCUGAGUAGUGGCGAGCGAAAGGGAAACAGCCCAAACCGUUAUUGUUACGGCAAUAACGGGGUUGUAGGACUGUGAUAUGGACUGUAAAUUCAAAGUUGAAUCUUCUGGAAAGUUGAACCAAAGAAGGUGAUAGUCCUGUAAACGAAUUGAAUUUACUACCUAACAGUAUCCUGAGUACUGCGGGACCGGAGAAAUCCUGUAGGAAUCUGCCAGCACCAUCUGGUAAGGCUAAAUACUAAUGAGAGACCGAUAGCGAACUAGUACUGUGAAGGAAAGGUGAAAAGCACUUCGAACAGAAGAGUGAAAUAGACCCUGAAACCAUACGCUUACAAGCAGUAGGAGGUGAAUAUUUAGUGGCUUGCCAUUAAAUAAGUAACUGACUGCGUGCCUUUUGCAUAAUGAGCCUACGAGUUACUCCUCUCUAGCAAGGUUAAGUUCAUCUAUGAACGUAGCCGUAGCGAAAGCGAGUCUGAACAGGGCGUUCAGUUAGAGGGGGUAGACGCGAAACUUUGUGAUCUACCCAUGGCCAGGUUGAAGCCCCGAUAACACGGGGUGGAGGACCGAACUAGUAAACGUUGAAAAGUUUUUGGAUGAGCUGUGGGUAGGGGUGAAAGGCUAAUCAAACUGAGAGAUAGCUCGUACUCCCCGAAAUGUUUUUAGGAACAGCCUCGAUUUUAGUGUCAUAGAGGUAGAGCUACUGAUAGGACUAGGGGGCUUCGCAGCCUACCAAAUCCUGACAAACUCCGAAUGCUAUGACAUAUAAUCGGGAGUGAGGGUAUGGGUGCUAACGUCCAUAUCCGAGAGGAAAAGAAUCCGGACCAUCAGCUAAGGUCCCUAAAUAUAUGCUAAGUUGAACUAACGAAGUCUGAUUGCUUAGACAGCUAGGAUGUUGGCUUGGAAGCAGCCAUUCAUUUAAAGAGUGCGUAACAGCUCACUAGUCGAGCGAUCGGGCGCGGAUAAUAAACGGGCAUAAAGCAUAUUACCGAAGCUGUGGUAUUUGUAGUAAUACAAAUAGGUAGGGGAGCAUUCCAGUUGCAGCGAAGGAGCAUCGUAAGAUGUGCUGGAGCGACUGGAAAAGCAAAUGUAGGCAUAAGUAACGAUAAUGAGGGCGGGAAACCCUCACACCGAAAGACUAAGGUUUCCUGAUCAUCGAUAAUCGGAUCAGGGUUAGUCGGGUCCUAAGGUAUAUCCGAAAGGAGAAGCCGAUGGCUAACAGGUCAAUAUUCCUGUACUAGCAUAUAUUGCGAUGUGGUGACGAAGUAGUGACAAGUCUGUGUACUGACGGAAUAGUACAUUGAAGGGUGUAGGUAUAUUUUUGGCAGGUAAAUCCACCAGAGAUGCCGAACCUGAUAGUACCGCGAGUCUUCGGACAAGCGGAUAAUGACUGUAAUCAAACUUCCAAGAAAACCCGCUAAGCUUCAGAUAUAUGCUACCCGUACCGCAAACCGACACAGGUAGUCGAGGAUAGUAUCCAAAGGUGCUCGAGUGAUCCAUGGCUAAGGAACUAGGCAAAUUAGUCCUGUAACUUCGGAAUAAAGGACGCUCUGAGUAAUCAGAGCCGCAGAGAAAUGGCCCAGGCGACUGUUUAGCAAAAACACAUGGCUUUGCAAAAUCGAAAGAUGAAGUAUAAGGCCUGACACCUGCCCGGUGCUGGAAGGUUAAGAGGAGAGGUUAGCAGCAAUGCGAAGCUUUGAAUUGAAGCCCCAGUAAACGGCGGCCGUAACUAUAACGGUCCUAAGGUAGCGAAAUUCCUUGUCGGGUAAGUUCCGACCUGCACGAAUGGUGUAACGAUCUGGGCACUGUCUCAGCCAUGAGCU
RNAcentral lists this ribosomal RNA (2043 nucleotides) under Bacteroidales bacterium. RNAcentral's name for it is "partial 23S ribosomal RNA". It matches the Rfam family "Bacterial large subunit ribosomal RNA", at positions 1 to 2033 of the family's 2925-position model. The record is from RNAcentral. Lineage: Bacteria; Pseudomonadati; Bacteroidota; Bacteroidia; Bacteroidales.